UCACGGUGUAAUUUCCUGUUCAGCCAGCAGUGGGUGAGAGCGAGCAACCCUCUGAGGAGAUAACAGUGUCGUCUGCUUCAAAGUGUCUUUGAACGCUUCACUGCUGCCAGCGUUUGUUUCUUGCGUGAUGGACGCCGAUGGAUAAAGACAUCGAUUUUCAUUCGUGAAAGAAAAAUUGUUCAGGUCAUGUUUCCGAAGUCACGAAGAGGUGACGGAGGGCUUGGAUUGCGGCUAUUCGAAGACCAAAUAUGACGUUCCAGAACACUCCAGCUCACAUGUUUGUCUGCUCCAAGCAUUUCCACAAAGAAGAGUCAGCGUGAUCCCUCUGCCUGAUAUCAGGACACUAAUGCGUCUUCAGUCUGGGAAUGUGACCAGUGUAAGUGUGGGCUCCUGCUCAUGUUAAAAAAAAGUUUUCAAACCCCUAGACCCUGUUACAAGCACACUGAACAAAAUAUGCAGGGCUGUACCCUAACUUUGUUGGUUUAUAGCUCCGGUGCUACAAAGGUUGCUCGUUUUGUAGCGCAGACCAAAAAGUAGUAGCACAAGCAUUAAUUGUGAUAUUUUUUUCACAUGAUCUAACAUUAUCUCUUUUAAAUAUCUUGUUUCCACGACAUAAGGAUUGUCUUAUAUACUUUUUUGUUGCUGUUUCUGAGCAGUAAUGAAAAAAUAAAAGUUGUGCCUUCGCAUAGUAAAUCAGCCAUAGAAAGUCCUUUUCCCACCUGCUCUUGUGUGACGCCUGAUUGCUGACUGAUGCCUGAUUGCUCUUCAUGCAUAUGGUACAAACACACGCCACAUAUUCCUUUUGGAGUGAAGAUCCUCUGACAAGACGCCCAGCUUAAUGUUUCCGGGUGGAACGCCCCACUGUCAAGUUUCAAAAGAAACACGCCAGUGGAAAGCAACGGAGGUGGUCUGACAUGGGCGUAACUUUGUGCUGAACACUGGGGGACUCAAGAUCUCUGUCUAAAUGAAGAGAUUUGUUUUAAACGCCAGAGGAUCACCAGCAUUUUUGCUUGUUGGCUCUCCACUGCUGUAUUCAGAAUCAGAAUACUUUAUUAAUCCCUAAGGAAAUUAUUUCCAGAUGGCAAAAAUGCCACAUGGUGUCUCUGCUUAUUUAUGUAUAUAUUCAAUCAUUUACGUCACUGUAUUGACACCAAUAAACUAUACCAACAAGUAUACCUGCAUGACCUCGUAGAGCUAAACCUUGCUGAGCUAAGUAUUUGAUGAAGCCCACAAUCUUCAAUAAUCCAUACCUUGCUUCUUCCUGUUGUCUGGCAACAGCCGAAGAAAGCUGUGAAGCUACAGUGUUCCCUUUUUGAGCACAGAUGUUCAUGGCAUGGAUGUGUACCUGACUUUCUGCAUCCUGAGAACCUGAAGAUCGCCUAGUUCCAAUUUCUAAAGCCUACACUCACAAAGGCAGGCUCACACUUGCUUGCAAAUGUUGACUGAUUUGAAUAAACUUUGGCACAGUGAAAACACAGCACCCCUUGUGGCACUGUAAUGCAACCCGGGAAAAGUUGUGAACCAUUUUUGUUGAAAAGACAACACACAUUUAGCUCGCUUCUGCACUACUAUAAGCUCAGGAUCAGGUUGUGCAGGCUUCGUCCAGUUGAGGAUGUCUAAACAUCAAAUCCUUCUCUGUCCCUGUCAUCUGUGUGACUGGUUCCUGACAUGGGGCUUGAGACCCUGUGGUAAACAUAACAAGAAAACCUGUCACUCUCUGAAAUAACUGUAUAUUAGCUGUAUAUUAAAUGAUUGUAUUGCACAUUAUGCACACAUUAACAACAUUACUGACAUUGUUAAAUUAAAAAAAAAAAAUCUAUUAAUAUGUCCUUGCAUUCUUACCUUCCUCUGUGAGGAAACCACACGAACCAAAUACACAUCAGUUCAGUGUUCUGACAGUGUGUGUUUGCAUGCACAAUCAUUUUUGUUGUUCUGUAUGUGUGUUACCUGGUCAUCCGUGCCUCCUGUGCAGCCUUUCUGUGUCUCUCCUUUUUCAAUUGCUGCACCUCCUCUGCCACCACCUUCACCCUCCUCUGCUCCUCCUCUGUUGCCUCCUCUCUCCCCAUCGUGCUUCCUUGAGUCCCUCUUUGAUCACCUGCUCUGCAAACCUCUUGAACCUGAUAUAAAAAAGCUCAGUUAAUGUUUAAAUGGUUUGAGAGGGGUGGUAUAUUCCAUAUAUAUGGUUUUGCAGAAUGCAUGUUCCCUUACCAAGAAGUUGGAAUGCAUUUGAAACACCUUUUGGCCUCUUUCAGUGUUUCCCACAGAAGUUUACUGUAAUACAGUAACAUUUAGUCUACAUUCUUUUUACAAUGUCAUAUUCUUAUAACAUGUACAUAUACAUAACAUUCCUCUGUUGUUUGACCUGCCUUUCUUUCCCCUUCACCUCUAUAUACAGCACAAUGCCCCCCAACCACCACACAUACACACACACCACAAAAAUAUAACACCCCAGCUUGUGUCUCAAAUUUGAUUGAUGACCCUAGCCUUGACCUUUUGACCCCACCGGAAGUACUCCGGAAGUGUGUAAUAUGAUCCAUAAGCAUGACACCUGUUGCGACACCUGUUGUGAAAAAAAAAGUUUUCUCCCUUAGAGGGAGGGGGGGGGUCUGUGGAGGGAGGAGAAUAAAAACAGAGAGGGCGGCGCACACUUUUCUAUGCGCAGACACAAGAUGGAUCCUUUCAUUCUGCACCCGUGCGUUCCUCUGUACUUGGACGGGGAAGAGAUCUGCUCUCCCGAGGCCGUAAGCAUGGGAGGCAGCAGCGGCGAGUGGUCUUCGUCUAUUAUCAGCGACACCCCCGUCACUGUCUACAGUAACAGAUCAGAAGCAACUGAUGCUCCGCGGAAAGAAGGGAGAAAUAAGAGCGUCUUCAUGUUCCGCAGCCAGAUACCGGCUCCAAGGAGCUUGCGGAGAGAAUGGCCUCUGCCUUUUGAGGGGUGUGGAAAGUGGGGCUACGUCUUCAAAUACAACAAGAGGCUAGUGAGAAUGAUGAAAUAGAGGUUGAUGAUCCUCCUGCCCACACUGCUGCUGAGAAUGAUGGAGAUUCCACCGUUGAAAUAGAGGUUGAUCCUCCUGCCCCCAUCGCUGCUGAGAAUGAUGAGGAUUCCUCCGAUGAAAUAGAGGUUGAUGAUCCUCUUCCUCGCCUCCCUGCUGAAAAAACUCCGGACAAACAGGACCCUCCUGUAGAGGAUGAUUCCUCCUCGGAUGAGGAAGAUUCCUCCGAUGAGGAUGAUAAUCCUCUCCACAUCAUUACCGAAGAAGAAGAAGAAGA
Long non-coding RNA from Oreochromis niloticus (Nile tilapia), 3270 nucleotides. RefSeq lists it as uncharacterized. NCBI's taxonomy places the organism in Eukaryota, Metazoa, Chordata, Actinopteri, Cichliformes, Cichlidae. The transcript has 3 exons. The record is from RefSeq and is a predicted model, not a curated record.